GGCAACAGCUCAAAUUUGAAAUCUGGCCCCCAGGGUCCGAGUUGUAAUUUGCAGAGGAUGAUUUUGGCGAGGUGCCUUCCGAGUUCCCUGGAACGGGACGCCACAGAGGGUGAGAGCCCCGUCUGGUUGGACGCCGAGCCUAUGUAAAUCUCCUUCGACGAGUCGAGUAGUUUGGGAAUGCUGCUCUAAAUGGGAGGUAUAUGUCUUCUAAAGCUAAAUAUUGGCCAGAGACCGAUAGCGCACAAGUAGAGUGAUCGAAAGAUGAAAAGCACUUUGAAAAGAGGGUUAAAUAGUACGUGAAAUUGUUGAAAGGGAAGCGCUCAUGACCAGACUUGGGCCCGGUGAAUCAUCCAGCGUUCUCGCUGGUGCACUUUGCCGGGCUCAGGCCAGCAUCAGUUUGCCCCGGGGGAUAAAGGCUUUGGGAAUGUGGCUCCUCCGGGAGUGUUAUAGCCCAUUGCAUAAUAUCCUGGGGCGGACUGAGGUUCGCGCAUCUGCAAGGAUGCUGGCGUAAUGGUCAUCAGCGA
This 524-nucleotide ribosomal RNA is filed under the name Metapochonia bulbillosa. RNAcentral's name for it is "partial large subunit ribosomal RNA". It matches the Rfam family "Eukaryotic large subunit ribosomal RNA", at positions 100 to 647 of the family's 3401-position model. The record is from RNAcentral. Lineage: Eukaryota; Fungi; Ascomycota; Sordariomycetes; Hypocreales; Clavicipitaceae.